GUCCACACCCAGGAGCCAAAUGGCCAACCCCGGGCCACCGAACCAGAGCUCGCAAACCCAGCCGCUGUGCCACCAGACUUAUCCUUUGACGAUAAACUGACAUGACUCAGCAACCGACACUUUGUUUGACACACCAGAGGAAAGACGAUGGGCACCCUGAGGACUGGUUCAACAGUGAAGGCCUCUGAGGAAGGCUGAGGACUUGACCAAGCAGAUGGAAAAGUUGUGUUGACUAUGGAAGGCAUAGAAAAGGAGGUACACAUGGACAAACAUUACACCAGAUGAUCUCAUCCAUUCCCAGAACUCUAAUUACCGUCUAUAUGCUAAUGAUCAUCAAAUUUAUAUCAGCAACCCACUUCUCUCCCAUGAGUUCAAACUGGAACACCCAACUGCCUAAUUUACAUCUACUUUGACUGUCUUACAG
Molecule: long non-coding RNA, 424 nt
Filed under: Equus caballus (horse)
Lineage: Eukaryota; Metazoa; Chordata; Mammalia; Perissodactyla; Equidae
Description: lncRNA (ENSECAG00000046719.1)
Source: RNAcentral